Molecule: transfer RNA, 74 nt
Filed under: Opitutaceae bacterium
Lineage: Bacteria; Pseudomonadati; Verrucomicrobiota; Opitutia; Opitutales; Opitutaceae
Also listed under: 2 other names
Description: tRNA-Gly
Rfam family: tRNA
About the family: Transfer RNA (tRNA) molecules are approximately 80 nucleotides in length. Their secondary structure includes four short double-helical elements and three loops (D, anti-codon, and T loops).
Source: RNAcentral
GCGCCGGUAGUUCAUCGGUAGAAUGUGAGCUUCCCAAGCUUGAGAGGCGGGUUCGAUUCCCGCUCGGCGCACCA